GACGAACGCUGGCGGCGUGCCUAAUACAUGCAAGUUGAGCGAUGAAGAUUGGUGCUUGCACCAAUUUGAAGAGCAGCGCACGGGUGAGUAACGCGUGGGGAAUCUGCCUUUGAGCGGGGGACAACAUUUGGAAACGAAUGCUAAUACCGCAUAAUAACUUUAAACAUAAGUUUUAAGUUUGAAAGAUGCAAUUGCAUCACUCAAAGAUGAUCCCGCGUUGUAUUACCUAGUUGGUGAGGUAAAGGCUCACCAAGGCGAUGAUACAUAGCCGACCUGAGAGGGUGAUCGGCCACAUUGGGACUGAGACACGGCCCAAACUCCUACGGGAGGCAGCAGUAGGGAAUCUUCGGCAAUGGACGAAAGUCUGACCGAGCAACGCCGCGUGAGUGAAGAAGGUUUUCGGAUCGUAAAACUCUGUUGGUAGAGAAGAACGUUGGUGAGAGUGGAAAGCUCAUCAAGUGACGGUAACUACCCAGAAAGGGACGGCUAACUACGUG
Molecule: ribosomal RNA, 497 nt
Filed under: uncultured bacterium
Lineage: Bacteria
Description: partial 16S ribosomal RNA
Rfam family: Bacterial small subunit ribosomal RNA
Source: RNAcentral